This 459-nucleotide ribosomal RNA is filed under the name uncultured bacterium. RNAcentral's name for it is "partial 16S ribosomal RNA". It matches the Rfam family "Bacterial small subunit ribosomal RNA", at positions 338 to 795 of the family's 1533-position model. The record is from RNAcentral.
CCUACGGGUGGCAGCAGUGAGGAAUAUUGGUCAAUGGGCGCUAGCCUGAACCAGCCAAGUAGCGUGAAGGAUGACUGCCCUAUGGGUUGUAAACUUCUUUUAUAUGGGAAUAAAGUGCAGUAUGUAUACUGCUUUGCAUGUACCUUAUGAAUAAGGAUCGGCUAACUCCGUGCCAGCAGCCGCGGUAAUACGGAGGAUGCGAGCGUUAUCCGGAUUUAUUGGGUUUAAAGGGUGCGUAGGGGGGCUGUUAAGUCAGCGGUAAAAGCCCGGGGCUCAACCCCGGCGAGCCGUUGAAACUGGCUGUCUGGAGAUGUCGAGAGGCAUGCGGAAUGCGCAGUGUAGCGGUGAAAUGCUUAGAUAUUGCGCAGAACUCCGAUUGCGAAGGCAGCAUACCGGCGGCGAUCUGACGCUGAGGCACGAAAGCGUGGGUAUCGAACAGGAUUAGAUACCCGUGUAGUC